RNAcentral lists this ribosomal RNA (303 nucleotides) under Triticum aestivum (bread wheat). RNAcentral's name for it is "partial small subunit ribosomal RNA". The record is from RNAcentral. Lineage: Eukaryota; Viridiplantae; Streptophyta; Magnoliopsida; Poales; Poaceae.
AUGAUACGCUCUAUCACACAUAAGCCUUAUUAUAUCUUCCUCAAAACAGCCACCAUACCUACCUAUUAUGGCUUUUCCAUGGCCAUUCCGAGAUAUAUUUCCAUGCAACUUCCACCGCUUCCGUUUGAUGACUUGAGCAUUCAUUGUCAUAUUGCUUUGCAUGAUCAUAUAGCUGACAUAGUAGUUGUGGCUCAGCCACCGUUCAUCAUUUUUCAUAUAUGUUACACUAGAUCAUUGCACAUCCUGGUACAUGCCAGAGGCAUUCAUAUAGAGUCAUAUUUUGUCAUAGGUAUCGAGUUGUAA